This 399-nucleotide ribosomal RNA is filed under the name uncultured bacterium. RNAcentral's name for it is "bacterial SSU rRNA". It matches the Rfam family "Bacterial small subunit ribosomal RNA", at positions 408 to 793 of the family's 1533-position model. The record is from RNAcentral.
AAGAAGGCCUUCGGGUUGUAAAGCACUUUCAGUAGGGAGGAAGGUAGUGUAGUUAACACCUGCACUUACUUUGACGUUACCUACAGAAGAAGCACCGGCUAAACUCCGUGCCAGCAGCCGCGGUAAUACGGAGGGUGCGAGCGUUAAAUCGGGAAUUACUGGGCGUAAAGCGCAUGCAGGCGGCCUGUUAAGUCAGAUCGUGAAAGCCCGGGGCUUAACCUCGGAAUUGCAUUUGAAACUGGCAGGCUAGAGUCUUGUAGAGGGGGUAGAAUUUCAGGUGUAGCGGUGAAAUGCGUAGAGAUCUGAAGGAAUACCAGUGGCGAAGGCGGCCCCCUGGACAAAGACUGACGCUCAGAUGCGAAAGCGUGGGGAGCCAAACAGGAUUAGAUACCCUGGUAG